RNAcentral lists this long non-coding RNA (1566 nucleotides) under Sorghum bicolor (sorghum). Its description in RNAcentral is "long non-coding RNA (SBIC_LNC015888)". Lineage: Eukaryota; Viridiplantae; Streptophyta; Magnoliopsida; Poales; Poaceae. The record is from RNAcentral.
AACGAACUAUGCAAAACAGUUGGGAUGCUCUUCCUAAAGAGAUAGAGUCAGGCACCUCAAGGUUGCUGCACGCAUGGCCGAAAAACAGAACUUGCGUAGAGCACGUGCUUCUGGAUAAGGAAUUGGCCCACACAGCAGAGACAAAAGGCGAAAGGAAAGCCCAUGGCAGCGAACAUCACAUGCAAUGGGAAAUUCCGUGUCUUACCCUUGCCCAGUCCCCAGUCUGGCUCUUCCUCCUCGAUCCUCACCCUCCAAAUCCACCGGCACCAGGACCUCGGGGCGGCAUGGGAAGAGCAGUUGGGGAAGCAGCAGUUGACGUGGUGUCUCGGGCCUCGGGGCAGCGCUGUGACAGGUGAAGCGGUGUUGUGACGGGCGGCACCACAACAGACAACGUGGCCAUGGCUUCCGGCUCCAUGAUAGAUGGCGCUAAGGCGGAGGGCACGGGCCGCUUCUAGCUCCACUACUGAUGGUAUCGCGGCGAAGUGCGCGGGCCGCUACUGGCUCCACAGCAGGUGCACUAUGCCACAACUAGAGACUCCAAAUCGGUAAGCCGCCAUAGUGACCGAUCUUCAGUCACUAUAAUAUUAUAGUGACCGAUAUACCAAUUGCAGUAAGUGGUGUCUCUUAUUGGAACAAACAAUGAAAAUAUUAUUGGUGCUAGAAACCAUUAAAUCUUGUGGCUGCUUGCUCCGUACUUGAAGCUGCUGCAAUAGGAAUCCAUAGCGCCACGAGGACAGCGGAGUAGAUAGGCUUACUAGUUGAAGAGGAAAAAAAUUUUGGUGUCACAUCAGAUGUUUCGUAAGAUGUCGGAAGGGGUGUUUUGAUACUAAUAAAAAAACUAAUUACAUAACCCAGCUGGAAACUGCGAGACGAAUUUAUUAAGCAUAAUUAAUUUAUCAUUUGCACAUGUAGGUUAUUGUAGCACUUAAGGCUAAUCAUAGACUAACUAGGCUUAAAAGUUCCGUCUCAUGAUUUCCAACUAAAGUGUGUAAUUAUUUUAUUUUUUAUCUAUAUUUAAUACUCCAUGCAUAUAUCCAAACAUUUGAUGUUAUGGUAAUUUUUUUUAGGUUCAGAACUGAACAAGGCCUAGGUGGAGCGAAUCCAUGUGCAGCGGCGCGGUGGCCCUAACAAUUAUGCAUUGGGGAUGGCUGCUCUCUGGGCGACGAUGGCGGCUGUGGUGGUGACGAUGGCUGCAGAGUUAGUGCGGACGAUAGUGGCCACGAGGAUGGCCAUGGCAUUGGUGGGGAUAGCAGUUGCAGUGGUGAGCACCCUCAGCGACCGAACAGUGGUGGAGGUCGGGACUCAGAAUCGAGAUUCCAUGAGUUCUUUUUCUCCUUGAGAAACUUGAGCCUGUGGCGUCAGCUGUUGGGGUGGCCAGUGGGUGUGCUUAAGAUAGGGUUUUGGGUGUUAUGUCUCAUGAGCGGGCCACAAAGAGUAGUAUGUGCGCACGUGGAUUGUAAUAGAACCGUCUAAAUUAUAAGAGAUUAAGUCUAAUAGUGACCACUUUCGUAGUCAAACCAUCGAACUUAAGCCCAUAUAAUCCCGAUAGUCCGUGAAAUCUCAAAG